Molecule: ribosomal RNA, 603 nt
Filed under: uncultured bacterium
Lineage: Bacteria
Description: bacterial SSU rRNA
Rfam family: Bacterial small subunit ribosomal RNA (bases 1-517)
Source: RNAcentral
CCUACGGGAGGCAGCAGUGGGGAAUCUUGCGCAAUGGGCGAAAGCCUGACGCAGCCAUGCCGCGUGAAUGAUGAAGGUCUUAGGAUUGUAAAAUUCUUUCACCGGGGACGAUAAUGACGGUACCCGGAGAAGAAGCCCCGGCUAACUUCGUGCCAGCAGCCGCGGUAAUACGAAGGGGGCUAGCGUUGCUCGGAAUUACUGGGCGUAAAGGGAGCGUAGGCGGAUAGUUUAGUCAGAGGUGAAAGCCCAGGGCUCAACCUUGGAAUUGCCUUUGAUACUGGCUAUCUUGAGUACGGAAGAGGUAUGUGGAACUCCGAGUGUAGAGGUGAAAUUCGUAGAUAUUCGGAAGAACACCAGUGGCGAAGGCGACAUACUGGUCCGUUACUGACGCUGAGGCUCGAAAGCGUGGGGAGCAAACAGGAUUAGAUACCCUGGUAGUCCACGCUGUAAACGAUGAGUGCUAGUUGUCGGCAUGCAUGCAUGUCGGUGACGCAGCUACGCAUUAAGACACUCCGCCGUCGGGGAGGUACGGUCGCGAAGAAUUAAACUAACGAAGAAGUAGACGGCGUGAGACGUGCCGACGGACGACGACGAGGGAGUAGG